CUCCCUAGCUGGGGACCGCCCCGCAGGGAGGGCCUUGUGGCCCGCGGGGGAGGCGGGGAUCUGUCCUGGAUCUCCGAGACAUCUGGGUUCCCACACCGACCCGAAUGGGUGCGGUCGCCCCUUGGACCCUUGUUUCCAAGCGAGAGAUCGAGAGAUCGGUAUUUGGUCUGACAUAGAGCAGGGGCUAACACGGGGAGAGCUGUUUUUCUCUGACCCGUGCAGGUGCUAUUAGCAGGUUCAACAAAACUAAACAAACAAAACAAAACAAAACAAAAGAACCACCUAGCACGAACUAACCGAACUAACCGUUUGUGGAGCUUUCUAUUCAAAGGGUCAUAAGAGAGCCCAUUUCACAGAGGGGGAAACGGUGCAGAAGAGUUCAGGACUGGCACAAUCCCAAGAAGAGGACACCUAAUACAGUGUUGUCAAGCCCUGUCUCAGGUAGUUCUGGGUCUGGACAUCUGGGCUCACGGAAGAACUCCGGCUCCCCAUCAGUAGAGAACUCUUAAGUCUCUGGUUCUACUUUUCUCAAAAUGGCAUUUCUUUUGUUCUUUCAAUAACAUUUUUGUUUUUUAAAGGGUUUUUGGCAAACCUUAGUCACUUCAUUGUACUAAGUUGUUGCCUGUUGACCAGACACACUUGCCUCUGCUGGAGGUGACACUUUUAUCUACUCCUCUAGGCUGAUGGCACCUCCAUCUCCUUCUGUAAUAGUUUUCUAUUUCAGGCUCUCUAUCCUCUCCUGGGGAGCCAGGAUUGAGUCUCCCCCACUUCAGCUCGUCACUGGGAAGUUAGGGACCUGGGUUGGACGCCUGCAUACUGUGCCUCGGUCUCCUACUGGACACAGAGGUUGCAGAGGGUUAGAUCAGGCCUGCUCAGGAAGCCUGGUCUGCAGGUGACGGCGCUCACUCACCCCAGCUCCCUUUGGGGCCUGUACUGCAUGGCUUCUUACUGAACUUUGCCCUCUCCCACCCCAAUUUCUUCCCACUUAAGGGGGCAUAGGUGAAGCCUAACGGGACAGAGGGGGCCGUCAGGACUGAGCACAGCAUCCCAGGGAAGGAAUGGGCAAAGGGCAGACAAACACAGGUCAUGCCCAGUGAAUAACAAGGUGACUUAGGGGGGGCAAGCUGUCGAGGAAGGGAGGGUGACCAGGGGCCUUUGUGUAAUCCUAAAAACUCAGGAUUUUGUCAGGUGUCUGUAGAAGCCUUAGCUCUCUGGCUCCGUGGUGUAGGAAGGUCACCCUCAGGCCUGUGGAGCCCACAGUGGGCUGACUUAGACUCAACUCAGAGCUGAUUAAAGCCCACACUGCUCAAAUGAACAUUCCUGAUAGCACAAGCCAUUUUAACCUCUCUAGAUAACAAUUUGAUUGUGCAUAUUCAAAGCACAUAAUACAGCAUUCCCUACAAAAUUGCUUGCAAUGGACAAGGAUAUUCAUUGAAGCAUUGUUUGAAGAGAAUUGGAAAGGACCCAAAAUGUGCUGGGGAAGUAAGUGAUGGAUCUGUCACACAAAGGACACAAUGUAGCUGGCGGGAGGGUGUCAGUUAGAGCCAACUGUGCCUGGUGGCACACAGUAGGCACUCAGCAGGCCUGGAGAGACCUCCAGGUGCAAGAAGCAACUUGCACAAUGAUGGUAUAGAGUGGCUCCCCUCUUCCUUUCUGUAAGCGUGGAGCUGAUGCACAAACCCUUGCAAAGUCAGUAAAUGCCGAAGUGUUAAAGCUGUAUGCUUGGAAGUGAUGAGGAGAGAGAUUUCACUCUGGACACUGCCAUGGCUGCCUGAGGCUGGAGGAAGUGCUUGGAUCACUCACUGUAAUUGGCACAAGGAACCUUUCAGGAUGAUGGAAAAAAAUUUAAUACUACACCAUAAUGAUGAUCAUACAACCAGUUCACACCACUGAAAAACCACAGAACUGUUUACUUCAGUGAGUUAACUGUGUGCCAGCAAAUUACAUCCUGAGACACUCGCUACAAAAGUUUGAAGCACAAGAUCUAAAAUGUGAUGAGAAUGUAUCCGACAUGGCAUUGGUUUUGUUUGCUUGUUUAAGAACUGUAGUCUACAAAGAAUGCUCUAAGAAUAUGCGUAAAGGGAUACUUGCUCCUUAGCCGACUUGGGAAAUGACAAGGAACCUGAGCCAGCAGCUGGGCUGGCCCCUCGGGAGCAGAGCAGCGGGAGCAGCGUGGCCCCAGUUUGUCCAGUUGGUGAUUAACAGAAGGCCCAUUAUGGCUUGGCCUCGACCCCUGGGGUCAGUGACCACCAGCCCAGAGUCUCUGGCCCCAGGUUAAUGAUCACAAAGGUGGUGUAGCUUUGCUGGCCAUGUGGCUUUGGAGCUUGGGCCACAGUGACCAAGGCCCAGCCUCUGCCUUCAGGGACCCUGGAGCCUAGAAACCCUCACUCCAGGGCAUCAGUGAAUGGAGACUGGAAGGAGCAACUCUCUAAUCUCUUCCCUGCCUGGAAGAGGCGUGAGUUCAAGGGAUCAAGCGGGCUGAAGUGAAGUGAAGGGGAUGCACCAGUGUUAGGGAAGGCUCUGCCAUAGACCGCCUGGAUGACUGGUCUCCUCUAAGGCCCGUUUCUGGCCCCAGCAUUCCCAGAUCCUGGCUGCACCAUCCUGCCCAGAACCUACUUGCUUCUGAGCUUCAAAGUUCCCAUCUGCAAAAUGGGGACACCGAACCAGGUCACUUUGACAGGUCCUGAAUCAGACCACCUAGGACCCCUGAUGUAAGAAGGAGGCUCUGAAAUCAGUAAUAGCAUGUCAGCUCCCCUCGGGAUCCAGUGAGUAGUCAAGCCCUGGCCACUGCCAUACAGGACCCCAAAGCCUGAAACCCCUCACUAAAGAGCACAGGGCGUGGAGACUCUGAUGGGGUAACCCUGCCUUACUCUGUUCUGUGUGGUAGGAAUUCAGGGGAGCAAGUGGGUACAAGUGCCAAGGAAAGGAAGACGCACCGAUGACAGAGAAACCGACACUCAGGCCGCUCAUGUGGAAGGAGGCAUUGCUGAGGUUCAAACCCUCAUCUGGGGCUCCUGGGCCCCAGUUCUGUCUGGGAGAGGAAGCAGGAGCCCUGGCCCCACCUCAGCAGGGAGCAUCGACCCUGUGCAGGAAAUGGGUUGCGGUUGCUAAACCAGUCCAAGCCCAUGCCAGGCAGGCAGGCAGAAGUCUCUAGAGUAGCUGGCACUACCACAUCUCCUAGGUCGGGGCAAGAGAAGGUUCCAGAAAAGCCCUCGAGCCCUCCAGAUGCCUGAUGUCAUCACCCAGGAAAACCACAUGUCUAAGAAGACCCCAGACCAUGGCCACCGUGUGGAGAAAGACCACAGUACCUCCAUUUACUCGGGUCUGGGAUGGUUGCUCUGACUUGAAUGUAACUCUGCUGUCCAUGGAUUGUGUGGUGUAUUCAUCCUAGUCCCUGCUCUUUACUGCGCCUUGGGAACUGCCUUGAUCGCCCGUCUUGGCUGUUUGUGAGUUCUGCCCAGUGCCCCUACACAUCAGGCAUCCUCUCAGUAUAUGCCACAGGAUCCAGUGGCAUAGCUCACGUCCCUCUGUAGACCCCUCCCUCCCUGGGUUGGAUCUAGGCCCCCAUAACCAUCUCUUGACCGGUUCUUUUCCCUAUGACUAACUUCAAGUCAACCUCUAGAUCUCUGUGGGCUGCCGCGGGUGACUACCAGAUGAGAGGUCUCACCCUCGCCCUUGGCCACAGUGUACAAAAGGCCUUGGCGGGCUGGGAAGACACCUCCCUGUUCUGUUCCCUCACCCCAAACACAGCCGCUCUCAUCUCCCAGGCAGCUAGCCAUCACUGGAAGAGCUCCCUCUUUUCCUCCCAGAGCUUGUUUACUUUGGGCCCAUUGCAGUGCUCUGGUCCCCCGGGAGCACCCACCCUUCUGGCCUAGGAUUUUGCCAGGAGGGACAAUGAUCAGUAAACAGAGAAGGCAGUUGUGAAACCCAGCGAGAGCAGACAGGACCCGCACAUGUUCCGGCAGGCCCCCACGGACUUGAAGGCACAGGCCGCGGCACCUGCAGUUUCCUCAUUUUUAAAAUGGAACGGAGUUAAAAGUGCCAGUCUCCUGGAAUGGCAGGGGACUCCAAGGCCUGACCCACGGCAUCUCCCAAGGGUCCCUGGAUGGCCUGCUUUCUUCUCUCAGAGGCCUGAGCCCAGCACAUUCACACCUACCGAAUGGCAGCAGCCUGGAACAGUAGGCUGUCCUGUGGGGGUCCAGUCAAGAGGACUCAUGUUACAGGCGUGCCCAGCCCAGGACGGUUUAGGCCUCAGGACUCAGAUACAGAAAGAGAAAAGGAUCCUCCUCAGGCGAAGAAAAAAGAAGCCAUGGCAGGCAUAACCAUCUCCACAAGACCCAGGAGGUACGGAAAGGUUUUAUUCUUUGCUCCUUCUCCAACCCCUAGCUCCCAGCCUAGACAUCUGUCACAUGAUUCUGUGAAUGAAUGGAUUCCAGAAUCUGCUGAACAUUUAAGUUCAGAAAAACAAAGCCCUGUGCAUAGUCAGAAAGGGUGGGGUGGGGCAGCUUGGGAAACACGGCUCAGCCUUCCAGUGGCAAGGGAGAGAAUGUUCCAGAUGGAGAAGAAGGAAUCAAUGUGCCAGAGACUUGGGACAAGGACAUCUGAGGACCUGACAGGAGGGCACCAAGUCACCCUCCUUACCUGCUUACACCCAAGUUCAUGGAGGUGAGCGUGAGGCGGGUGCAGUCCAGGGGAUGAAGGAGCUGCAAGGGUGAACAGGCAGGCCCCUGAGACAUUCAGCCAGGCCCGAGCAGGUCUGGCUGUGGCCCUGUGGUGGUUUCCGAAGUUGGGCAGGCAGAAUGCAAGGGCCUGGGGACAUGGCUCGCAAAAGCAUUCACGGAAAAGGACUCCCCUGCCUCUGGACUGUCAGAAGCAGGCACCCCAGAAGCCAGGUGUGAUCCUUCAGUGGCAGCUGAGGAGAGGCCAGGCCUCUGGGUCUAGAGAACCUUCUAGAAACCCCUGGCUCCAAGGACUAAGUACCAAUGGCCCUCUCAUCUAGACUUUAAGAGGGACAGAGCCAUGGUCAGCUCCUGUCACCGCCUGGCAGCUGGGUGCAGUGGAGCAUUGGGAAAUACAGGCACUCACUUCCUGCUUCUUUUGGCAAGCAACAGUGAUACCAUGGGCUGGCCAUUGACGCUGUGGGCUAGCCAUUGACGCUGUGGGCUGGAGGGCACUUUCCUUUCUCCUCACACAAUUAGAAGUUCUCUUCUGUUCAGGUGGAAACCUCUCACAGCGACCCCCAUGGCUUUUCAGCUCACAAAGGAGGCAUCUGCAGUCCUGUCUGAUCCCCACAACCACCUUGUCAGACAAGGAGGGACCCAAUGUACCGCCUUACAGGAGGAAAAGCCCAGGGCCUGCUUGGGAGGGAAUCUGUGUCUCCUGGCUUGUAGCCCAGCACUCUGCAUUCCGCCCAGCGCCCAGCCUCCCAGUGCCCUGCACCUCAGGCUCGCCUGGGAACCUGAUAGGUGGCCCGCCCACCCAGCCAGCCAGGUGGGGAUGACUCAUCCACCCUGGCAUGACUCACUCCUCAGGUGCCUCCUUGGGCCAACAAGCAGGGGGCUUGGUGGCCACAGCCCAACUUCUUGCACCUCUCUACAACCUGCAGGGAGAGUUCCUACCUCGCCUCCUCAAGGAACCCACCCCACGAUAGCGCUCCCAGGAGGCUUGAGCACAGCAAGCAAGAAGCCCCGCCAGGGUGAGAGCAGGCAUCAGGGUGCUCAGCCUGCCUCACCCCUCCCCUCAGGACCGCCCUCAUCCCUGCCUCAUCCCUGCCCUCACCUGCCUUUCCCUUGGUGAGGAGCAGAUGAGGUAAUGAAUAAACAGUAUGUCCACAAAGGGAAAAACUUUUAAUCCACAAAGGCUGUUCAGCUGCUCGCACUCUGGAAUCAUCUAGACUCCCCAGGACACUAGGUGGUCAGUGGUUCUGUGUUGUUCUACCUACCUUACAG
This is a non-coding RNA of Peromyscus maniculatus bairdii (prairie deer mouse), 5948 nucleotides long. NCBI's taxonomy places the organism in Eukaryota, Metazoa, Chordata, Mammalia, Rodentia, Cricetidae. The record is from RefSeq and is a predicted model, not a curated record.